AAAUUGAAGAGUUUGAUCAUGGCUCAGAUUGAACGCUGGCGGCAGGCCUAACACAUGCAAGUCGAACGGUAACAGGAAGCAGCUUGCUGCUUUGCUGACGAGUGGCGGACGGGUGAGUAAUGUCUGGGAAACUGCCUGAUGGAGGGGGAGUAACUACUGGAAACGGUGGCUAAUACCGCAUAACGUCGCAAGAC
RNAcentral lists this ribosomal RNA (194 nucleotides) under Salmonella enterica subsp. enterica serovar Agona str. SA-4. RNAcentral's name for it is "partial 16S ribosomal RNA". It matches the Rfam family "Bacterial small subunit ribosomal RNA", at positions 1 to 187 of the family's 1533-position model. The record is from RNAcentral. Lineage: Bacteria; Pseudomonadati; Pseudomonadota; Gammaproteobacteria; Enterobacterales; Enterobacteriaceae.